UACGGGGGGGGCAAGCGUUGUUCGGAAUUACUGGGCGUAAAGGGCUUGUAGGUGGCCAACUAAGUCAGACGUGAAAUCCCUCAGCUUAACUGGGGAACUGCGUCUGAUACUGGAUGGCUUGAGUUUGGGAGAGGGAUGCGGAAUUCCAGGUGAAGCGGUGAAAUGCGUAGAUAUCUGGAGGAACACCGGUGGCGAAGGCGGCAUCCUGGACCAACACUGACACUGAGGAGCGAAAGCCAGGGGAGCAAACGGG
Molecule: ribosomal RNA, 253 nt
Filed under: uncultured bacterium
Lineage: Bacteria
Description: partial 16S ribosomal RNA
Rfam family: Bacterial small subunit ribosomal RNA
Source: RNAcentral